RNAcentral lists this ribosomal RNA (409 nucleotides) under Ascomycota sp. R181. RNAcentral describes it as "eukaryotic LSU rRNA". Lineage: Eukaryota; Fungi; Ascomycota. The record is from RNAcentral.
CAUUUAUCUUCAUGUCGUCCACGUAAGAACCAAAUUUUAAAAAAUUUAAUUUUACCCAACCCUUUUUCCAAACCCCAAACCCGGGGACUCCUCCUUUGGGUUCCUGGGCAUUCGGACUGAAGGAACCGCAGGCGAAACUGCGACUACCGUAGUGUGAAUUUGCAGAAUUCAGUGAAUCAUCGAAUCUUUGAACCGCACCAUUUUGCGUCCCUUUUGGUAUUUCCUAAGGGGCCAUGGCCUUUGUUUCGAGCGUCAUUUGUACUCUUCAAGCUUUGCUUGGUGUUGGGUCCUCCUUGUCUCUCUUCUUUUUUACGGGGAGACUCGCCUUUAAUUAACGAUUGGCAGCCGGCCUUACUGGUUUUGGAGCGCUAGCUACUAUUAUAUUUUGCGCUUUGUGCCGGGAGAUAAA